AACGAACGCUGGCGGCAUGCCUAACACAUGCAAGUCGAACGAAGCCUUCGGGCUUAGUGGCGCACGGGUGCGUAACACGUGGGAAUCUGCCCUUCGGUUCGGAAUAACAGUUAGAAAUGACUGCUAAUACCGGAUGAUGACGAAAGUCCAAAGAUUUAUCGCCGAAGGAUGAGCCCGGUAGGAUUAGGUAGUUGGUAGGGUAAUGGCCUACCAAGCCGACGAUCCUUAGCUGGUCUGAGAGGAUGAUCAGCCACACUGGGACUGAGACACGGCCCAGACUCCUACGGGAGGCAGCAAGUGGGGAAUAUUGGACAAUGGGCGAAAGCCUGAUCCAGCAAUGCCGCGUGAGUGAUGAAGGCCUUAGGGUUGUAAAGCUCUUUUACCAGGGAUGAUAAUGACAGUACCUGGAGAAUAAGCUCCGGCUAAACUCCGUGCCAGCAGCCGCGGUAAUAGUACUCCUAU
RNAcentral lists this ribosomal RNA (462 nucleotides) under uncultured bacterium. RNAcentral's name for it is "bacterial SSU rRNA". It matches the Rfam family "Bacterial small subunit ribosomal RNA", at positions 29 to 534 of the family's 1533-position model. The record is from RNAcentral.